This 663-nucleotide ribosomal RNA is filed under the name Auchenomus forcipatus. Its description in RNAcentral is "SSU rRNA". It matches the Rfam family "Eukaryotic small subunit ribosomal RNA", at positions 52 to 698 of the family's 1831-position model. The record is from RNAcentral. Lineage: Eukaryota; Metazoa; Arthropoda; Insecta; Dermaptera; Spongiphoridae.
UGCAUGUCUCAGUGCAAGCCAAAUUAAGGUGAAACCGCAAAUGGCUCAUUAAAUCAGUUAUGGUUCAUUAGAUGAUACAAUAUUUUACUUGGAUAACUGUGGUAAUUCUAGAGCUAAUACAUGCAAACAGAGUUCCCACCGGUAACGGCAGGAACGCUUUUAUUAGAUCAAAACCAAUACGUUUACUUCGGUAGACGAUUUUUUUGGUGACUCUGAAUAACUUUAUGAUGAUCGCAUGGUCCUAGUACCGGCGACAAAUCUUUCAAAUGUCUGCCUUAUCAACUGUCGAUGGUAGGCUCUGCGCCUACCAUGGUCGUAACGGGUGACGGGGAAUCAGGGUUCGAUUCCGGAGAGGGAGCCUGAGAAACGGCUACCACAUCCAAGGAAGGCAGCAGGCGCGCAAAUUACCCACUCCCAGCACGGGGAGGUAGUGACGAAAAAUAACGAUACGGGACUCAUCCGAGGCCCCGUAAUCGGAAUGAGCACACUUUAAAUACUUUAACAAGUAUCCAUUGGAGGGCAAGUCUGGUGCCAGCAGCUGCGGUAAUUCCAGCUCCAAUAGCGUAUAUUAAAGUUGUUGCGGUUAAAAAGCUCGUAGUUGGGAUUGUGUCCCGCACUGUCGGUGCGUCAUUUAUGGUGUUUACUGACAUGCUGUGGGACGUC